RNAcentral lists this ribosomal RNA (254 nucleotides) under uncultured bacterium. RNAcentral describes it as "partial 16S ribosomal RNA". It matches the Rfam family "Bacterial small subunit ribosomal RNA", at positions 524 to 776 of the family's 1533-position model. The record is from RNAcentral.
UACGUAGGGGCCGAGCGUUGUCCGGAGUUAUUGGGCGUAAAGCGCGCGCAGGCGGUCGUGACAAGUCACUUGUGAAAUCUCCGGGCUUAACUCGGAACGGUCAAGUGAUACUGUCGGACUAGAGUACAGAAGGGGCAACUGGAAUUCUCGGUGUAGCGGUGAAAUGCGUAGAUAUCGGGAGGAACACCAAUGGCGAAGGCAGCUCGCUGGGACGGUACUGACGCUGAGGCGCGAAAGCGUGGGGAGCAAACAGG